Molecule: ribosomal RNA, 253 nt
Filed under: uncultured bacterium
Lineage: Bacteria
Description: partial 16S ribosomal RNA
Rfam family: Bacterial small subunit ribosomal RNA
Source: RNAcentral
GACGAACCGUGCGACCGUUGUUCGGAAUCACUGGGCUUAAAGGGCGCGUAGGCGGCCCGCCGCGUCCGGGGUGAAAUCCUCCCGCUCAACGGGAGAACGGCCUCGGAUACGGGCGGGCUGGAGGGGGGUAGGGGCGGGCGGAACUGUGGGUGGAGCGGUGAAAUGCGUUGAGAUCCACAGGAACUCCGGUGGCGAAGGCGGCCCGCUGGACCCCACCUGACGCUGAGGCGCGAAAGCCAGGGGAGCGAACGGG